GUCACAUUACCACGUGCACUCUUCCAUUUUAAUUUUUCUUUGGAAAUGGCUAGUCGAGUUUUCUCUCUUGAUUCCCAACUAAAAUUUCUCAAAAGGAAUGCCACGCGGUAGCAGCAACCAUCUGCACUAUAAUGAAAUGGGAAAUAUAUGUUUCACUGGUUUUUACCACAAAUCUUACAUGUGUCGAAAAGUAAGAAAUAAAAGUAAACCGUCGAAAUGGUGGAUGUCAAUCUCCAAAGGGUUGGUGGACCGGACUGGACAUGAAUGGAGUUGUAUUUAAAACUUCUGAGACAGUUGAGGUAUAAUCCAGAUGAAAUGCAAUUGAAGCGAAUAUAUAUUUCUAGCUAGAAAGGUAUAAUCCAAAUGAAGUUCAAUUGAAGCGACUAAAAAGAGUAGUUCGGUGCAACCAACCCUGAAAUAUGUGACACCACAUGAAUCACGUCCAAGAUUGAUGGCUAAAAUAAACCCGGUGUGAAUUGCUGAGAAAGUCAAAAACAACAGAAGAUGUUCUUGUGACUUUCAAACUGGCGAAGUGCUACAGAACUUGCAAUAUAGAUUUUGAACAUGGACUGAAUAAAUGGUUUCCAACUUUGCUGCAUUUUGGUUCAAAACGACCGGGUUGAAAUGCAUUCAAAAUAUCGUCAAAUUUUAAAACCAAAAUGGUAUGUGGAUCCAAAAGUAUGAAGCAAGAAAGGAAUGUCACUUAUUAAAAAAGUUAUGUAAAUGGUUUGAAUUACAUCGAAUGAUAAUCACAAUUUGGAAAUGACUGGCAAAAUUGAAGAUAUCUAUCUUAUUUUUGGAAUAUUUGGAUUCCUAGUUGAAAUUAAAAUGGACCACAAUGCAAUGAAGAUAUAAGGCGUUAAGUGUGGAAUGAAGUUCUUCAGUCAGCCUCGAAAAGGCUUAAACGGAAAUGAUUUCAACUGAUGGCUUACCCGUAGAACUUUCCUGCCUAAAAAUGAUUGCAAAACCUCAAAAACUGCUUGUCUUUAUUCGGCUUUGGGAUUCACAUGAGAUUAGUGAUACCCGACGGAUUGUGAAGCCCCCACUCGAUGCUAUAAAUAAAUCUGAUGUAGUCUUAUCGAUGAAUAAAAAUACGAAAGAUUUUAUUUAAUAUAA
Drosophila ficusphila is the source of this 1116-nucleotide long non-coding RNA. RefSeq lists it as uncharacterized. Lineage: Eukaryota; Metazoa; Arthropoda; Insecta; Diptera; Drosophilidae. The record is from RefSeq and is a predicted model, not a curated record. The transcript has 18 exons.